This 435-nucleotide unclassified non-coding RNA is filed under the name Roseovarius gaetbuli. RNAcentral describes it as "cspA". Lineage: Bacteria; Pseudomonadati; Pseudomonadota; Alphaproteobacteria; Rhodobacterales; Roseobacteraceae. The record is from RNAcentral.
CAGGCGCGGAAAUACCUUGCAAUUUUUGCGCUUUGCCCCCAUAUGCACCUUGCGAACGUUAUUCUAUUUCGACCUGUUGUCUCCCUAAACCGGCGCUCAGUCUUCGAUCCAGACAUACCUUGCCGGGCUGCCGCACCUACGCGGGCAGCAUUAAAUUUAGGAGAACACGGAUAUGGCUACUGGCACCGUGAAAUGGUUCAACACAACUAAAGGCUUCGGCUUUAUUGCCCCCGAUGGCGGCAGCAAAGACGUUUUCGUACACAUCUCGGCCGUUGAGCGGUCGGGCCUGUCGGGUCUUGCAGAUGAUCAAAAAGUAACAUUUGACAUCGAAGCCGGCCGUGACGGCCGCGAAAGCGCGAUCAACCUCGCUCUGGCAUAAGCCUUAGCAUCGGUUAAGAUUACAGGCGCGGCCCCCGAAACGGGGCCGCGUUUUGC